This 430-nucleotide ribosomal RNA is filed under the name Verrucomicrobiota bacterium. RNAcentral describes it as "Verrucomicrobia bacterium partial 16S ribosomal RNA". It matches the Rfam family "Bacterial small subunit ribosomal RNA", at positions 355 to 776 of the family's 1533-position model. Lineage: Bacteria; Pseudomonadati; Verrucomicrobiota. The record is from RNAcentral.
UAGGGAAUCUUCGGCAAUGGGGGGAACCCUGACCGAGCAACGCCGCGUGAGUGAAGAAGGUUUUCGGAUCGUAAAGCUCUGUUGUUAAGGAAGAACGAGUGUGAGAAUGGAAAGUUCAUGCUGUGACGGUACUUAACCAGAAAGGGACGGCUAACUACGUGCCAGCAGCCGCGGUAAUACGUAGGUCCCGAGCGUUGUCCGGAUUUAUUGGGCGUAAAGCGAGCGCAGGCGGUUAGAAAAGUCUGAAGUGAAAGCCCACGGCUCAACCGUGGAGGGUCAUUGGAAACUAAUAAACUUGAGUGCAGGAGAGAAAAGUGGAAUUCCUAGUGUAGCGGUGAAAUGCGUAGAGAUUAGGAGGAACACCGGUGGCGAAAGCGGCUUUUUGGCCUGCAACUGACACUGAGGCGCGAAAGCGUGGGGAGCAAACAGG